UUCAAAGUUCUUCGGGAUAGAGAAUAAAUUACUUAGUGGCGGACGGGUGAGUAACGCGUGGGUAACCUGCCUCACACAGGGGGAUAACAGUUGGAAACGACUGCUAAUACCGCAUAAGACCACAGCACCGCAUGGUGCAGGGGUAAAAGAUUUAUCGGUGUGAGAUGGACCUGCGUCUGAUUAGAUAGUUGGUGGGGUAGAAGCCUACCAAGUCAACGAUCAGUAGCCGACCUGAGAGGGUGAUCGGCCACAUUGGGACUGAGACACGGCCCAAACUCCUACGGGAGGCAGCAGUGGGGAAUAUUGGACAAUGGGGGAAACCCUGAUCCAGCCACGCCGCGUGAGUUAAGAAGUAUUUCGGUAUGUAAAGCUCUAUCAGCAGGGAAGAAAAUGACGGUACCUGACUAAGAAGCCCCGGCUAACUACGUGCCAGCAGCCGCGGUAAUACGUAGGGGGCAAGCGUUAUCCGGAUUUACUGGGUGUAAAGGGAGCGUAGACGGCAUAGCAAGUCUGAAGUGAAAGCCCGGGCUCAACCCCGGAACUGCUUUGGAAACUGUUAAGCUAGAGUGUCGGAGAGGUAAGUGGAAUUCCCAGUGUAGCGGUGAAAUGCGUAGAUAUUGGGAGGAACACCGGUGGCGAAGGCGGCUUACUGGACGAUAACUGACGUUGAGGCUCGAAGGCGUGGGGAGCAAACAGGAUUAGAUACCCUGGUAGUCCACGCGGUAAACGAUGAAUACUAGGUGUCGGGAGGAUUAACCUUUCGGUGCCGUCGCAAACGCA
RNAcentral lists this ribosomal RNA (780 nucleotides) under uncultured Eubacteriales bacterium. RNAcentral describes it as "bacterial SSU rRNA". It matches the Rfam family "Bacterial small subunit ribosomal RNA", at positions 65 to 859 of the family's 1533-position model. Lineage: Bacteria; Bacillati; Bacillota; Clostridia; Eubacteriales. The record is from RNAcentral.